GCUAGCGGCCAUACCAUGACGAAUACACCGGAUCUCUUCCGAACUCCGAAGUUAACCGUCAUAGGGCCCGGUCAGUACUGGGGUGGGGGACCGCCUGGGAAGUCCUUAGGGUGCUGCUAGCU
Molecule: ribosomal RNA, 122 nt
Filed under: Candidatus Woesearchaeota archaeon
Lineage: Archaea; Nanobdellati; Candidatus Woesearchaeota
Source: RNAcentral